Molecule: ribosomal RNA, 348 nt
Filed under: Triticum aestivum (bread wheat)
Lineage: Eukaryota; Viridiplantae; Streptophyta; Magnoliopsida; Poales; Poaceae
Description: partial small subunit ribosomal RNA
Source: RNAcentral
AUGGAUAGCUGUCCUUUGCUAAUUUGGAAUGUUAGAGGUUUGAACUCGGCUGCUAGGAGAGGUGUGGUUCGGAGAUUAGUGCAGCAGUUUAAUGUAUCGUUCGUGUGCUUUCAAGAGUCCAAGGUUUCAGAGGUUUCCAAAGAGUUUUUCACAGAGUGCUGCGGGCCUGCUUUCACCGGUUUCUGCUUCCAGCCGGCUGUUGGUACUCGGGGAGGGAUUAUCAUGGCCUGGAAAGACGACGAGAUCACUGUCUCCUCGUCGCACUGCACCCCGUCCUUCAUCUCCGCUGCUUGCUGUCAUCGGAGGUCAGGGAAGGCCUGGCGUGUCAUUGGUGUCUACGGACCGUAG